GUGGGGAAUUUUGGACAAUGGGCGCAAGCCUGAUCCAGCAAUGCCGCGUGCAGGAAGAAGGCCUUCGGGUUGUAAACUGCUUUUGUACGGAACGAAACGGUCCGGGUUAAUACCCUGGGCUAAUGACGGUACCGUAAGAAUAAGCACCGGCUAACUACGUGCCAGCAGCCGCGGUAAUACGUAGGGUGCAAGCGUUAAUCGGAAUGACUGGGCGUAAAGCGUGCGCAGGCGGUUUUGUAAGACAGGCGUGAAAUCCCCGGGCUCAACCUGGGAAUUGCGCUUGUGACUGCAAGGCUGGAGUGCGGCAGAGGGGGAUGGAAUUCCGCGUGUAGCAGUGAAAUGCGUAGAUAUGCGGAGGAACACCGAUGGCGAAGGCAAUCCCCUGGGCCUGCACUGACGCUCAUGCACGAAAGCGUGGGGAGCAAACAGGAUUAGAAACCCUUGUAGUCC
Molecule: ribosomal RNA, 450 nt
Filed under: uncultured bacterium
Lineage: Bacteria
Description: partial 16S ribosomal RNA
Rfam family: Bacterial small subunit ribosomal RNA
Source: RNAcentral